UCUCCUGCUUUGCAGAUAGAUUCUUUACUGUCUGAUCCACCAGGGAAGCCCUUCAUAGAGGAAGGUUCUGUAUAAAAUUCUUUGACUUCACAGGGAGAAUAAUGCUACAUAAAUGCAAGAAAUUACAAUUUUGCUGACAGAUCUAAACUGUCAUCCAGGUUUCAGUCUUCCUGGAUUAUGAAGAGAAAAGAAGCAGAAGUGACUAUUGAAAUAUUGCCUAGUGAUAAGACAUUAAAUUUGUGUGUCAUACAGUAAAUCUAGCUGUGACUUCUUGUUCUGCCACUUAUAAUUUUCAGGCCCCAGUUAACUUUUUGGUAAAAUUAGAGAACUGGCUUUGAUGACUUAUAGCAUCUCUUUCUGCUCAAAGAUGCUAUGAUCCUGGACACCGCUACACCUAAACAAAUUUUGCCAGAAUUUCAAAGUAACUUUCAUUUGCAUAGGCCCAUAGUUUCCAAAAUACUGAUCUUCAAUGAAGAGUAUUAUAGAAUGAGUUCUUAGGAAACAAAGAACAUUGUUUAUCUUUUAAAGUAUUUUAUUUUUCUAUUUUGGGUUUGUUUUUUUUUUUCCUUUGGAGUUAUACGGGUAUAUGUUAAGUGGGCCAAGAUUUUGUUUGCUUGUUUUGACUGCAUUGUAUGGCAUUGUGGGAUCUCAGUUCCCUGACCAGGAAUCGAACCCGUGUACCCCGCAGUGGAAGCACAGAGUCUUAACCACUGGACCUCCAGGGAAGUCCUGAAUAUUGUUUAUUGAUUACCCACUGUGCCAAACCCUUUCCAUAGAUUACUUCAUUUGGCUUUCACAAUAAUUCUUAGAGGUAGGCAAAAUAAUGGCCUCCCAAUGCUGUCCACUUCCUACUCCUUGGAGCCUCUGUAUAUGUUAGGUUACACAGUGAAGAGAUAUUCAGGUUGCCAGUGGAAUUAAGAUUGCUAAUCAGCUGAUCUUGAGAAUUUAUCUUGAGUUAUCCCACAGUAAUCACAAAGGCCUUUAUACGUCAACGAGUGAGAUGGAAGAGUCAGAAUCAGAGGAGAAGAUGUGAUAACAGAAGCAUAAGACUGGAGUGACACAAUCACGGGACUGAAAGGCAUAAAAGGGUCAUAGACCAAGGAAUGCAGGGCCUCUAGACAAGAAACGGAUUCUCUCCGCAAACCCCCAGAGGGAGCACAGCCUGCAGACACCCAGAUUUUAGCCCAGCGAGACUGAUUUUGGACUUCUGACCUCUACCACUAUAAGGUCAUGAGUCUGGGGAGUGCUGAAAACCAGAGUUUGAGAUGGAGGUGAUAGUGGGGCCGCCUCCCUGAGUUGUUAUGAGGAUUCGUGGAGCUAAUGUAUGAGAACUUCAUGACCAAGAAGGAAGUCCUGCUUUGAACUAAGCAGCACAGGGUUGAUUGCUAUGUGGUGGAUACUGGAGCUGGGGGUUGAGCAGUGAAUGCCAGUAUGAGGGAUGACAUCACCUGGCCCUUCAGGAUGGAAUUCUGGUGAGACAAGGUAGAUCCCCUGGAUGCCGCCAGCCUGGUCACUUCUUCACCGUACCACCUAACCUACCUCCCCAUCUGGGAAGCAGGAUAAGCCUAAACCUGAAAUAACUGAGGAAACCAGGAGCUGAGAUUUCAUUUCCUGCCAUGUGGCAGAACAAGGGUUCAACAGAAGCUUACUACCAAGUGGAAGUAAAGUGAAGUGAAAGUCACUCAGUCGUGUUCAACUCUUUGUGACCCCGUACGGUCCAUUGAA
Long non-coding RNA from Bubalus bubalis (water buffalo), 1725 nucleotides. RefSeq lists it as uncharacterized. The transcript has 4 exons. Lineage: Eukaryota; Metazoa; Chordata; Mammalia; Artiodactyla; Bovidae. The record is from RefSeq and is a predicted model, not a curated record.